This 328-nucleotide long non-coding RNA is filed under the name Mytilus galloprovincialis (Mediterranean mussel). The record is from RNAcentral. Lineage: Eukaryota; Metazoa; Mollusca; Bivalvia; Mytilida; Mytilidae.
UUAUUAUGCAAUCAUUAUGUAAUCAAUUAUUAUGUAAUUAGUGACAAAAUCUAGGUAAGUUCACUUGAAUGAAUUUAGCUCUAUCAUCUCUUUAACUAUACUAAAAAUUUUAACAGAUUCUUAAUCAACGUAUCAUGGGCUUCAAAAGGGUGUCUCAGAUUGUCUCUAUGGUGUUCCAUUCUCUCAUAAAUCUCUAAUUAGUGUAAACAUCCUAACCACAUAAAAGAAGAUAAUGUUCAAUUAGGUGUAAAAUUUGUUCUAUACAUUCUAUCUGAAAUCUGAGACACCCUUUUGUAGAUAAUGGCCAUAGGAACAACAUAUAAUAAAA